CCUUUUUAGUGAAAACGAGUAGGACGGGACACGUGGUAUCCUGUUUGAAUAUGGGGGGACCAUCCUCCAAGGCUAAAUACUCCUGACUGACCGAUAGUGAACCAGUACCGUGAGGGAAAGGCGAAAAGAACCCCUGUAAGGGGAGUGAAAUAGAACCUGAAACCGUGUACGUACAAGCAGUGGGAGCACCUUCGUGGUGUGACUGCGUACCUUUUGUAUAAUGGGUCAGCGACUUACAUUCUGUAGCGAGGUUAACCGAAUAGGGGAGCCGUAGGGAAACCGAGUCUUAACUGGGCGAAUAGUUGCAGGGUGUAGACCCGAAACCGGGCGAUCUAUCCAUGAGCAGGUUGAAGGUUGGGUAACACUAACUGGAGGACCGAACCCACAUCUGUUGAAAAAGAUGGGGAUGACUUGUGGAUCGGAGUGAAAGGCUAAUCAAGCUCGGAGAUAUCUGGUUCUCCUCGAAAGCUAUUUAGGUAGCGCCUCGAGCGAAUACCACCGGGGGUAGAGCACUGUUUGGGCUAGGGGGUCAUCCCGACUUACCAACCCCAUGCAAACUCCGAAUACCGGUGAGUACUACUCGGGAGACACACGGCGGGUGCUAACGUCCGUCGUGAAAAGGGAAACAACCCAGACCGCCAGCUAAGGUCCCAAAGUAAUGAUUAAGUGGAAAACGAUGUGGGAAGGCAUAGACAGCUAGGAGGUUGGCUUAGAAGCAGCCACCCUUUAAAGAAAGCGUAAUAGCUCACUAGUCGAGUCGGCCUGCGCGGAAGAUGUAACGGGGCUAAAUCAUUCACCGAAGCUGCGGACUUGUGCUUGCACAAGUGGUAGAGGAGCGUUCUGUAAGCCUGUGAAGGUGUCCCGGGAGGGAUUGCUGGAGGUAUCAGAAGUGCGAAUGCUGACAUGAGUAACGAUAAGGGGAGUGAAAAACUUCCCCGCCGAAAGACCAAGGGUUCCUAUCCCAUGCUAAUCAGGGUAGGGUGAGUCGGCCCCUAAGGCGAGGCUGAAAGGCGUAGUCGAUGGGAAACGGGUUAAUAUUCCCGUACCGGCCAAUACUGCGAUGGGGGGACGGAGAAAGCUAGGCAAGCGCGGCGUUGGUAGUCCGCGUGAAAGUAUGUAGGUUGAGCGUUUAGGAAAAUCCGGAUGCUUAAGACUGAGAUACGAGACGAGUUACUACGGUAACGAAGUUGCUAACGCUAUGCUUCCAGGAAAAGCCUCUAAGCUUCAGGUAUUGGUGACCGUACCCUAAACCGACACAGGUGGUCAGGUAGAGCAUACCAAGGCGCUUGAGAGAACUCGGCUGAAGGAACUAGGCAAAAUAGUACCGUAACUUCGGGAGAAGGUACGCUCUUUGCUGUGAAGGACUUGCUCCGUAAGCAGUGAAGAGUCGCAGUGACCAGCUGGCUGCAACUGUUUAUUAAAAACACAGCACUCUGCAAACACGUAAGAGGACGUAUAGGGUGUGACACCUGCCCGGUGCCGGAAGGUUAAUUGAUGGGGUUAGCGCAAGCGAAGCUCUUGAUCGAAGCCCCGGUAAACGGCGGCCGUAACUAUAACGGUCCUAAGGUAGCGAAAUUCCUUGUCGGGUAAGUUCCGACCUGCACGAAUGGUGUAAUGAUGGCCAGGCUGUCUCCAGCCGAGACUCAGUGAAAUUGAAAUUGCGGUGAAGAUGCCGUAUACCCGCGGCUAGACGGAAAGACCCCGUGAACCUUUACUAUAGCUUGGCACUGAACAUUGACCCUACAUGUGUAGGAUAGGUGGGAGGCUUUGAAGCGGUAACGCCAGUUAUCGUGGAGCCGUCCUUGAAAUACCACCCUUGUAUGUUUGAUGUUCUAACGUAGGUCCCUGAAGCGGGAUUGCGGACAGUGUCUGGUGGGUAGUUUGACUGGGGCGGUCUCCUCCUAAAGCGUAACGGAGGAGCACGAAGGUUGGCUAAGUACGGUCGGACAUCGUACGGUUAGUGUAAUGGUAGAAGCCAGCUUAACUGCGAGACAGACACGUCGAGCAGGUACGAAAGUAGGUCAUAGUGAUCCGGUGGUUCUGUAUAGAAGGGCCAUCGCUCAACGGAUAAAAGGUACUCCGGGGAUAACAGGCUGAUACCGCCCAAGA
RNAcentral lists this ribosomal RNA (2109 nucleotides) under marine metagenome. RNAcentral's name for it is "bacterial LSU rRNA". It matches the Rfam family "Bacterial large subunit ribosomal RNA", at positions 394 to 2497 of the family's 2925-position model. The record is from RNAcentral.